AAUUUGGCAGAGAUGCCUUAGUGCCUUCGGGAACCGUGAGACAGGUGCUGCAUGGCUGUCGUCAGCUCGUGUUGUGAAAUGUUGGGUUAAGUCCCGCAACGAGCGCAACCCUUAUCCUUUGUUGCCAGCGAUUCGGUCGGGAACUCAAAGGAGACUGCCGGUGAUAAACCGGAGGAAGGUGGGGAUGACGUCAAGUCAUCAUGGCCCUUACGGCCAGGGCUACACACGUGCUACAAUGGCGCAUACAAAGAGAAGCGACCUCGCGAGAGCAAGCGGACCUCAUAAAGUGCGUCGUAGUCCGGAUUGGAGUCUGCAACUCGACUCCAUGAAGUCGGAAUCGCUAGUAAUCGUAGAUCAGAAUGCUACGGUGAAUACGUUCCCGGGCCUUGUACACACCGCCCGUCACACCAUGGGAGUGGGUUGCAAAAGAAGUAGGUAGCUUAACCUUCGGGAGGGCGCUUACCACUUUGUGAUUCAUGACUGGGGUGAAGUCGUAACAAGGUAAGCGUAGCGAG
This 515-nucleotide ribosomal RNA is filed under the name uncultured bacterium. Its description in RNAcentral is "bacterial SSU rRNA". It matches the Rfam family "Bacterial small subunit ribosomal RNA", at positions 994 to 1509 of the family's 1533-position model. The record is from RNAcentral.